CGGAACCCGCGCAGUUGGCCGGUUCUCCCACGCUGUGGCGAGAGGCCGGCGAGAUUUCAAACGGUGUUUCUGCACACGCAGAGUCGUUUGUCUAAAGCCGAGACCGACGGCGUCCUCAGGCAGGCGGGGAAGGGGUUGCCCGUGAGCCCAGCCCACCGGCCUGCGGCGAAGUUUGGAGCGAGUGCCCGCGUGCCUGGCCGAGACGGGCCGGGGCCGCCCAAUCUCCUCGUGCAACCUGCAGUGGGUGUCGUGUGCUGUGUUUGGGAGGUGGCCCGCGGCGACUCCCCUGCUUGCCCCCAGGUCGCCUACCUGAGUCGGCUGCGGCUGCUGCCUUGACACCAGCCGAAGAGUCUGCGACCUUAACCUCAGGCUCCAGGAACAACCCAAGCAGCCAUCCCUUCUACUUAGGAGCUAUACUCUGGAGACCAGCUGCUCUAACUGGUCUACUUUCCCAGGAAGCCGCCGUCAUGCACGAAUACCACAGUGAAAACCCUUGAAGGGGUGAGGAAUUACUUACCUUGCAGAAGAUCUUAAUACAGAGUUCCUGGGAAGAGAGAAUGCACCUGGUGCAAGAAAAUGACUGAAUGGAAAUGCUAUUAUAAGACUGUUGAUUUGGGGCCAGCAUUGUGCACAGCUCAUGAAACCACCACUUGUGAUGCCAGCGUUCCACAUCAGAGUGCCAGUUCCUGUCCUGCCUGCUCCACUUCCCCUCCAUCUCCCUGCUAAUACACAAGGGAAAGCAACAGAAAAUGGUGCAAGUACUUGAGCCCCUGCAUCCAUGUGGGAGACCUGGAUGGCGUUCCAGCUCCUGAUUUCUGCUUGGCCCAGCUCCAAGCUGUUGUGGGUAUUUGGAAGUGAACUAGCAGAUGGAAGAUAUCACUCUCUCUUCUCUCUCCUCUCUCUCUCUCUCUCUCACUCUGCCUUUCAAACAAACAGUAUGGAGCUACAUCAAAAAAUUAAGAAGAGGGCCAGCGCCGUGGCUCACUAGGCUAAUCCUCCGCCUUGCGCCGGCACACCGGGUUCUAGUCCCGGUCGGGGCAUCGAUCCUGUCCCGGUUGCCCCUCUUCCAGGCCAGCUCUCUGCUGUGGCCAGGGAGUGCAGUGGAGGAUGGCCCAAGUGCUUGGGCCCUGCACCCCAUGGGAGACCAGGAGAAGCACCUGGCUCCUGCCAUCGGAUCAGCGCAGUGCGCCGGCCGCAGCGCGCCUACCACGGCGGCCAUUGGAGGGUGAACCAACGGCAAAAGGAAGACCUUUCUCUCUGUCUCUCUCUCUCUCACUGUCCACUCUGCCUGUCAAGAAAAAAAAAAAAUAAGAAGAGAACUAUCACAUGCUCCAGCUGGACUAGAAAGGAUUGGGGAUUAGUUAAGAGAAUCUGACACUCCAUGAGAAAGGCCUCUAAAAGUGUCUUGACUAUUCUCUUGGUAAUGACAGACUAGAUAUCCUGGGCCACCCUGUGGCUGAAUGCAAUUUAAAAUCAGGAUUAGGGGGCUGAUCUUGUGAUGUGGCAGGUUAAGGCACUGCUUUCAAUGUUGGCAUCCGUAUUAGAGUGCUGCUCGUCUUCCAAUCAAGCUCUCAGCUAAUGCGUCUGGGAACGCAUAUGAAGAUGGCCCAGGGUGGGCUCCUGCCAUCCACAUGGAGUUCUGGGCUCCUGGCUUCAUCCUGGCCCGGUGCUGACCAUUUUAGCCAUAUGAGGGAGUGAAUUAGCAGAUGGAAGCUCUCUUUCUCUCUCAGUCUCUCCUUCUCUGUCACUCCGUCUUUCAAAUAAAUAAAAUAAAUCUUUUUUUAAAAAAUCAGGAUUAAAUGAGCUAAUACGAUAGUGAGCAACAACUGGGCCAAGUUUGGGGCAAAAGUAGAUUGGAAAUCCAGAAAUGAAAGCCAGGCAUUUGGGGCUCUCCUACCUUGAGGACACUAAAAGGCCCUAAGGCAAGACUGAGUGACACUUUCC
This is a long non-coding RNA of Lepus europaeus (European hare), 1944 nucleotides long. RefSeq lists it as uncharacterized. The transcript has 3 exons. The record is from RefSeq and is a predicted model, not a curated record. NCBI's taxonomy places the organism in Eukaryota, Metazoa, Chordata, Mammalia, Lagomorpha, Leporidae.